UACGUAGGUGACAAGCGUUUGUCCGGAUUUACUGGGCGUAAAGAGCGCGCAGGCGGUCGAUCAAGUCGAGUGUGAAAGCCCCCGGCUCAACUGGGGGAGGGUCAUCGAUAACUGAUCGACUUCGAAGGCAGGAGAGGGUAGUGGAAUUCCCGGUGUCAGUGGUGAAAUGCGUAGAUAUGGGAGGAACACCAGUGGCGAAGGCGACUACCUGGCCUGUUCUUGACGCUGAGGCGCGAAGCUAGGGAGCAAACGGG
Molecule: ribosomal RNA, 254 nt
Filed under: uncultured bacterium
Lineage: Bacteria
Description: partial 16S ribosomal RNA
Rfam family: Bacterial small subunit ribosomal RNA
Source: RNAcentral